CAUGUCUUUUUGAUAAUAAUUUAAAGUCUAAUCUGCUCAAUGAAUAUUAAAUAGCCGCAGUAUUUUGACUGUGCAAAGGUAGCAUAAUAAUUAGUUUCUUAAUUAGGAACUGGAAUGAAUGAUUGGACAAGAAAAUUUCUGUCUCUUUUUUAAAUUUUUUGAACUUUAUUUUUAAGUGAAAAAGCUUAAAUUUAUAUAAAAGACGAGAAGACCCUAUAGAGUUUAAUAUUUCAAUUUAAUUAUUUAUUAGAAAAUUUAUUUAAAUUGAAUUAUUUGGUUGGGGUGAUUGGAAGAUUAAAAAAAUUCUUUUAAAAUUUAAUUGAAAAUUUUCAAAUUAUAAAUCUGUUUUUAACAAAAUUAAAAUAAAUUACCUUAGGGAUAACAGCGUAAUUUUUCUUAAAAGUUCUUAUUUAAAGGAAAGUUUGCGACCUCGAUGUUGGAUUAAAAUUAAUUUUUGGUGCAGUAACUGAAAAAUUAGGUCUGUUCGACCUUUAAAAUUUUACAUGAUCUGAGUUUAAACCGGUGUGAGCCAGGUUGGAUUCUAUCUUUAGAAAUAUAAAAUAUUUUAGUACGAAAGGACCAAAUAUUUAUUAAAUUAAUUG
This 602-nucleotide ribosomal RNA is filed under the name Cautires sp. UPOL A00079. RNAcentral's name for it is "partial 16S ribosomal RNA". It matches the Rfam family "Bacterial large subunit ribosomal RNA", at positions 1827 to 2714 of the family's 2925-position model. The record is from RNAcentral. Lineage: Eukaryota; Metazoa; Arthropoda; Insecta; Coleoptera; Lycidae.